ACGGGAGGCAGCAGUGGGGAAUAUUGGACAAUGGGCGCAAGCCUGAUCCAGCGACGCCGCGUGAGCGAUGAAGUAUUUCGGUAUGUAAAGCUCUAUCAGCAGGGAAGAAAAUGACGGUACUUGACUAAGAAGCCCCGGCUAACUACGUGCCAGCAGCCGCGGUAAUACGUAGGGGGCAAGCGUUAUCCGGAUUUACUGGGUGUAAAGGGAGCGUAGACGGCAAAGCAAGUCUGAAGUGAAAGCCCCGGGCUCAACCCGGGAACUGCUUUGGAAACUGUUUAGCUAGAGUGCAGGAGAGGUAAGUGGAAUUCCUAGUGUAGCGGUGAAAUGCGUAGAUAUUAGGAGGAACACCAGUGGCGAAGGCGGCUUACUGGACUGUAACUGACGUUGAGGCUCGAAAGCGUGGGGAGCAAACAGGAUUAGAUACCCUGGUA
Molecule: ribosomal RNA, 434 nt
Filed under: uncultured Clostridium sp.
Lineage: Bacteria; Bacillati; Bacillota; Clostridia; Eubacteriales; Clostridiaceae
Description: partial 16S ribosomal RNA
Rfam family: Bacterial small subunit ribosomal RNA
Source: RNAcentral